RNAcentral lists this long non-coding RNA (1088 nucleotides) under Helianthus annuus (common sunflower). Lineage: Eukaryota; Viridiplantae; Streptophyta; Magnoliopsida; Asterales; Asteraceae. The record is from RNAcentral.
AUGGCCUGCCUUCUCUCUCCUCCCUCUCUCUCGGUGAGCCGCCACCGGUCCCCCUCCAUCUCUCCUCCCCGAUUUCCUCUCCCGAGUGAUUGGCGCCACCCACCGAUUUCCAUCUCUCCUCCCCGAUGAGCUUUACCGAAUACGCCCCGACCCCCCUUAGAUAUUAAACUCUUCUAAUUCACUUAAUCAAACACUACAAUAUAUGAUAAUUAAACUCGACCAAAAUAAAAUAUUUAUGUCCCGAUCUACCGUUCUGAAACACCCUAGCAGCCAUUUCCGCUAAUACAUCAGCCAGUGACCAACUCGCUGGAAUUGAGACACACUAGUGUCGCCCCACUCCUCUCCUGUGUCGCAACCAAUCGUCGCUGCUGAUAUUCGAAGUCACUGGAUUGGAUUACGAGUCAUUCCGUCAUCACCUCCUUGGUUCUGUUACGCCGCUGCCGUGCAUCACUUUUGCUCCAUCUUGAUUUAAGGUGAAUGACGAAAUGUUUAACAAAGAUGAGUUAUUGAUGUAGCUCUGGUGAUAGAUGUCUUUUUGUAGAUCACAAACCGGGUUGGGAGCUUGCGAAAAAAAUAUUGGUUGAAGCUUCAUAUCAAUCCUUGGGAUUGAGAAAUCCAUCACAACAUCUUUCUAGAUCGGGUCCUCCUGGAGUUUUAUCCCCAAGGGGCCCAACUCCAAUUCAUGUUGAUACAAGAUCACCACCAAGACCAACUUAACCCAAUUCUUCAACUCAACCAAGACCAACUGUAGCUAACAUGAUUCAAGCCCAAGUGAACGCUUUAUCUGCUACAGUUUGUUCACAAGGUGAAACAAUCAAGAUGUUGGUUGAAGCAAAGUGAAAAGAUUUCAAAGUUAAAAAAAAAAUGAUAAGGUGUAUCAAGAAACUUUUGACAAGUUGCUUACUAAGAAUGCUUCUUUGAAAGAACAAUAUGCUGAGCUUGCAAAGCGACUUGGUGCUCAGGGGGAGAAGUCUGGUACGGGUCGUAAAGGUAAUGAGUUACAAGGAAAAGACAGUUGAUAAGGUUGGAACUGUUGCUGAGGAGAUGUAGAAGGUUGUUGAUAAAGCUAUUGCAGAUUCAGUAAAACA